Molecule: long non-coding RNA, 4816 nt
Filed under: Marmota monax (woodchuck)
Lineage: Eukaryota; Metazoa; Chordata; Mammalia; Rodentia; Sciuridae
Source: RNAcentral
CAGGGGUGCUUAACCACUGAACAACAUCCUCAGCCCUUUUAAUUUUUAUUUUGAGACAAGAUCUCACUAAGUUGUUUACGGCUUUGGUAAAUUUUAAGGGUGGCCUCAAACUUGUGAUCCUCCUGCCUUAGCAUCCUGAGUCACUGGGAUUACAGGUGUAGGCAGCCACAUCCGGCUUCAUGUAAGUCUUUAUAGAGUGUUUGGUCAUUGUGACUUUUGAAGUUCUGUUAACAGAAGAAUUUACCCUGCAACAGUGAACCCAUACAUGCUAGUGAACAGGAUAGAGGAUGGGCAAACUAUCUUUUCACUCUUUUCUAUUUCUUGUGCACAAGUAAAUGCUCUCUUGCUAUUUAGCAGAAGUAUCUCUGUUUUCUAUAGUAUCUUCUAGAAUAAGUGAAAGAGUGACUUGGUAGAAAUAAAUGAUUUAUCCAUCUCUUAAUCUUUUCUUAGUCUGUCCUAUAAAAUGUUUAGCACAGAGAAGUUACAGCACUUCUCAGCCUGAGCCCCAGAAAAUUAUUACAUCACUAUGUUUUUAUCAGGAUCUAUCUUGAUAGCAUUUUUAUGACCAUAGGGAUUAAUGAAACCAAAUUAUCUAAUUUAAAAAAAAAAUCUUGUGUUUGUGUGUUUAUACAUAGAUAUAUAACUAAAGUUCUUUUUCAGAACCAAUACUCCUUCAAUUAAAACUUCAAUAAAAGCAUUAGGAAGUGAAAUUGAGUAAUAACAGCUGAGCAACUGGAGGCAGAGUGUGAUUUGUAGCAUAAGGAGCAGAAAGAAAUCAUGCAGACCAAGAACUGAAAGGAAGUAAGUAAUCUAAGAAGAAAAUAAUCUUGGCUGAGAAGUGUCUAUCCCUCAUCUGAAGAAAAAAUUAGUUUUCAGGAAACAUCACCUGUUUCAUCAAGUAGACUAUCUAUAACAAAUCAGCUAUUCCAAUUCACAAACUCCACCUCUAAUAUUUGAAGAGUUAUAACAUAGCCAUUUUAGAAAUAUGCAGCAGCAGGCAUUUGAUAAAAUAGUGUUCAAUAUGAUAAUCAUUUCAAUAUGAUAAUUCUUUUUUCAUUUGAGAUUUGAAUUUUUUUUAAGAACUAGUCAUGAGCAAUUGCAAUAUGUGGUAUGACAUAUAAUUUGGAGAUCUUUAUCAAACAUUUUAAAUUUAUAGGCAUAAUUCUCAUGCUGUACAUAAGAAAAACUUCUCAUAAUUACAAAAAUUUCAGUGUAUGAAAAUCAACUAAUCAGGAUUUAGACUAAUGCUGCAAAACAAAUGAGAAUGAUAACUUUUUCAUGAUAAAUAUAUCUUGAAAUAUUGAAUAAAGUAGCAAAAAUAAGUAACCAUUGUUUGAUUGUCAUCUUUAAUUAAAUGAAGAGUUUACACUGCUUUUUCAUUGUCAAAGAUACAAAGCACUUCUUGUUAUGUAAAAAUCAAAGAAUGCAUUAAUAGUUUUAAACUUGGCAUUAAACUACCUCAUAUGGAUAAGCUGGCUGUUCAAUUAUAGUCACCUUUAGUGGAAAACACUGGCACUGUUCAUUGGAAAAUAUCUAAAAGAUUACUUACAAAUUAUGCAUCAUUAAUUUCUGAUUUUUACAUGCUUUUUAUGUGUAAUCACUGCUGUGUUUAUUGGCCAAAGGUAAAAUAUGUCAUCAUUAUAAAUUAUGUUGUUCAUCUUUUAAUUGCUCACAGCAUUCUCAACUAUAAACUUCCUCUUCAAAUAACAAAAGACAUAAUCUUCCUUCCUCAUAUUUUUUUCUUCAACAAUGAAUAUUUAAUACCUACUAAUUACACAUACAUGCACAUACACACAGAAAAUUGUACUAGGUAUUUAAAGAAAAUGCAGUGCAUGCAAUUUAUGUCAGUAUUUUUAACCACUGGUUUUAUAACACAUUAUAUUGAUACUUAUAGCCAUACACAGAUUAUGGGCACAUCCACAUUACACAGAUCAAAGUUUGCAAAGGCAUGGUUAAAUUAUUUUUUCAUGCAUCAGAACUCGGGACUUUAGUUUUGUAUUGCCCUUCCUAAAGCCUGUUUAUGUUUUGGCUCUGUUAUAUCCACCAAAGUCUCACGUGUUGAAGGCUUCGUUCCAAUAGAGUUCAACAGUAUAGCUUUUGGAAAAUGAUUGAAUUAUAAGGGCUGUUACUUAUCAAUGGAUUAAAUCACUGAGAGAUUCACAACUGAAUGUACUAUUGAGAGGUGAUGGAAGCUGUGAGAGGGGAAACCUAUCUGAGGGUAUGCCCUGGAAGAUUUUAUCUUCUCACUGGCCACAUCCUCUGUUUUUGCUUCCGGGCUGGCGUGAAGUGAACAGCUUUCCUCUGUACUUCUGACAUGAUAUUCUGCCCAAAGCAAUGGAGCUGGCUGACUAUAGACAGAAGGCUAUCAGUCAAUAUAAAUCUUUUCUUCUCCAAGUUGAUUCUCUCAGGUAUUUUAUCACAGCAAUAAAAAAUCUUAGUUACAUACUCUGUUAUUUCCAGCAUCAAUUAAAUGUUCUGAUUUUCAAACUGUUUUAGAAUAUUGAGAAUUGACAUAGUUCUAAUUUUGAAAAUUUAUUAAAUAAUCGUUUAUUCUUGGCCUUAUACAAAAUUACUUGGAGGAAAUUUUUAACAUAAAUAUUUUAUUAAGGGCGAAAAUUGUCACAGACUGUUUUUACCAAAUAAACCAAAGUAUUAAAAAUAAAAAUAAUUUUAGGGAUAUGAUAUUUUAUUACGUUAAGGCACUAAGUAAUUAAGUAAUGUGAUUGCAAUGUCAAACUUUUUCACCUCAAUGACUGUCAUUUAGCAAAUGUCUAAUAUAAGCCCCAUGCACUAGAGAUUGCUUCUCUUCCAAGAAUGCCUAUAAAGAGGCAGAAAUACAGAAUAAGUUUUCUAUUAGUAGAAGACAUCUUUACAUGCAGACAUAAGAUCCAAGUUAGAUUUGUAAUUUACUAGGCUCAGCAUUUAUCCAGUUGCAAUGCCAAUUCAUAUCUUCAAGUUGCGGUAAAUACGUAUCUUUCAUUGUCUAUAAAAUAUGUUCCUUCCUGUGUAUUCUUUAACCGUUUCAAUGGACAUCAUACAUAUUGUCACCAACUGUGUGGGCUCAUAUAGUGUUCAUGUUUUUGCACAUAUCAUUUUUGUCUUUUGAGCAACUAAGGACAGAUUUUUUUUCAUUGCUCAUAGUAUUUAUGUUAACGCUAGGUAUGUUAUAGAUAAUUAGAAAAUUAUUGCUGACUAGUCUGGUUUUCUGAUAAUUCCAUUCUUUAGAAAAGUGGCAGUGAAACUUGUAUUAUUACAAUGUGGGGAGCUUUGAAAGAUUACCACAUCUAAGACAUACCCCAGACCAAAAAACAUAGCGUUUAUGGGUAGGACCCAAAAGUCGAGGUUUUUCAAGCUAAAAAUUUAUGUUACCUAUAUUGAAAAAUUCACAAUAAAAAAUUUCUAAGUCUUUAGAAUUUUGAAGAAAAUAGUGGUUCUACCUAUAAAUUUUAUUUUUAAAUACAUUAUUUGUAGUGUUCUGAAGUCACAAAAAGAGAGCAUCAACAGUGCAAGAGAUUCUAUGACACUCAUUUCAUUCUUGAAACAUUUUUUCUACACGUAUGCAAGCCACUUCAGAGAAAAAGGAGAUUAACAAAUUCUGACAUAUUCUUAUUUGUGGAGUUGACUUCAUUAUGGGUCUUAAAGUAACUUCAAUGUGGCAUUUGAAUUACAUAGAUUUUUGUGUAAGUUAUUCUUCUGCUUCUAUUCUUUGACAGCAUGUGUCUUUUGAAACAGAUUCUUUAGGACCAAAGUUCAUAGGAUAACUACUGUAUCGCUAAAAAUGCCUAAGUGAAUUCCAUGUUUUGUAUACUUCUGGGAGAUCACUAUCAUUUUCACCUUUCCCUCCAGCUUGGAAAUCAGAAUGUAAAUAACAUGUAGUGAUAUUAGUAUUUCUCAAUAAACUGAAGUAAUGAGAUUUUGCAUCUUUAUUAUUUGUUCUUGGACUGGUUCAUUUUGUGUUGUUAUAAUAACAUACUUUAGACUGGUAAGUUAAGAAGAGGCUUAUUUUGGCUUAUGGUUGAAGAGGCUGGCAAGUCCAUCCUAUUGACUCAAGAGAGCUUCAAGGUGAAAAGGGGAAGGGAUGCAAGCUUGUAUGGAAGAGGUCACAUGAAGAGGGAGAUCAUGGAGGUGCCAUGCUCAUUUUGCAGCAGUCUUUUCUUGUGGUAAUCGAUUCAGUCUCAAGACAAUGAGAACUCACUCCCACAAGAAAAGCAAUGGACCCUCAUACAGGCCCCAACACCUCUCACACAGUACAUUGGAGGCCAACCUUCUACAUGAAAUUUGGUAGGAACAAAUUUUGUUGAAACAUAGCUGUUCUAAAAAACUCGAGAGGGAGGGAGAAGAUGGCGGCGAUGGGAGUGCAUUGCCCCCAUGUGCUGCGUCACUGUGUGAGAUUAUGACGAGUCAGGACGGCUAAAGGCUAUCUUGUUAGGAAUUUCCAGCAAUAGUGGGGUGCUCCGGAACCUGGAGGAAGGAUUUCCAUCCCACGAGGAUCGGCUACGGGGACUCAAACGCAAGAGAUUUGUCGCACGGAGGGUAACACUGCUUACUCAGCAAAUCGCCCCGCGGCUAGAGUCUGCAGCGCGCGCUGGGAAACGAGGAGAUAGCGACGCAGGGAUACAGCGCUGUAGUUUCUGCCAGCCGUGCAAGCACCGUACUCAGUGCUGAAUUCUGGGUUCGAGACAGGGGAAGGAAGCGGUCCAUUUCGGUUCUCCGCACCAGUCAGACCACAGAGGAGGCCAGCAGCCACCAUCUUGGAGAGCUGAUGUCACCAUCCCUAUUUUCGACUGACCGCAGCUCAUUCAGCCAUAGAACAGGU